Molecule: RNA transcript, 3912 nt
Organism: Mobula hypostoma (lesser devil ray)
Lineage: Eukaryota; Metazoa; Chordata; Chondrichthyes; Myliobatiformes; Myliobatidae
Gene: coil
Gene name: coilin p80
Exons: 8
Source: RefSeq, a predicted model, not a curated record
GCCGGAAGGGGCGGGUUCUGCGGCGGAUCUAUCCCCCGACAACCUGCGGCCUACCAUGGCGGCGCUCCGCCUGCGCCUCGCUUUCGACUACCCGCCGCCGCUGCUGCCUUCCGCCCGGUUUUGCUGGCUAUUACUGCCCGCCGAGCAAUGCCGAGUGGUGGCCGACCUGGAGAGCAUCAUCCGCGGUCGCUUCGGCUUCAGCCGCCGCACCCGGCUGCACCUCUUCCUGGACGGUGGUCUGCUGCCGCCCAACGAGAGCGUCCUGUUGGUGCGGGACAACGACUCGAUCCGGGUGAGACAAGAGGAAUUGCCGGCAGACAGACCUGUGGCUGGUGAGGAUGCAGGUGGGCUGCUGCUGGUGAACAGGAAAGGGAGCAGACACCGAUCGGCGGAGAGGAAGAGCAGAAAGCGGAGGAAGCUCGCAGAGCUGAGUGAGGGGCAAACCCCCAACUCGACCGAGGAAUCUGUCUGCGGCAUAACCACAGAACGUUUGGGGAAGAGAAAGAAGGCAGCAGAGGACGGUGCCCAGAAAAAACAUGGCAAGAAGAGAAAAUAUAAGCGCAGCAGCGAGUGGGAGAGGAUUGAAGCUUGCAGUGAGAGCCCCACAUUACAACGACACUCCCCGGCCACAACACGCAUUGUCCCGGCCUCGGGGAGCAGAGAGUGGGAGAUGGUUGUAGCUCGCAGUGAGAGUCCUACAUUACAACACCACUCCCCAGCCACAACACGCACCGUCUCAGCCUCAGACAGGUUCUCGGCCGGUGAACUGGAUCACCAUGUUCCGGCGACUAAUGGUGUUUUGUCGGUGCCCGGCCUCGCUGGGAAGGGACAGAACUGCAGGAGUUUGGAGCAGACAAGCAUGCCGGCAGCAGCAGAGACAAGCAGCAACACUGACACACCCAGCAGUGAUUCAGACGACCCCAUGGGGAGUCGGGAGGCUAUUCCUAGCCCUGCCUCGAUCACAGCCCUUCCUGCCUCCAGCUCGUCCGCAGGCUCCAGGGAUUCCCGGCCAGAGAAGCCCAGGGGAGUGGAGACUGCAUCCGGAUGUCAGACUGCCCCACCCCAUCACCCAGGGAGAAUAGGCUUCGGACUGGGGUGCGGAAGGGGCCGUGGACGAGGAGGUGUGACUCCACCGUGGGUCGGUGCAAAGGGCUGGCAGCAGCGGGGUCCCACUCGGGGCAGGGGCCGAGGGACUGGAGCCCCACACAACCACUAUCCACGUGGCCGUGAUACAAAGCCGGGAGAAUGGUUGGAGCCUGCGCAGCACCGGACCUUGGAGAGUGUCCCCAAGGUUCCUCCGAGGGAUUACAGCAAGCUGCCGCUCCUGGCCGCUCCACCACAGGUUGGGGAACGGAUUGCCUUCAAGGUGCUGGAGCUGUCGGAGAAUUACACACCAGAACUGUCUGAUUACAAGGAAGGAAGAAUCGUGAGUUACGAUGCUGAAACCCAGCAGGUGGAGCUCAGUGUGGAAUCGGAAACCUCAGGAAGUUCCAAAGAGCCUGGAAAGUUUGACCUGGUUUAUCAGUCUGAGAAUGGAGAGGCUGUGGUGGAGUAUGCAGUGACAAGGGAGUCCCAGUUGACACAAAGCUGGAGUUCACUGGUGGAGCCUCGUCUGAUAGUGCCUUUUGCUGCUGAGACCGAGGCGUUGGAGAUGGCCUGUUAACCCCCUCCUUCCUGCACUCCCUACACCUGGUCCAGACCGGGCCGAACCAAUCGUGGCCAGCUGCUGCUCUCCUCCACACCCUGGCUGUAUAGAGCUGUGUUUUAAUUCCAAAUAACAGCGAAGAACAAAUUCGAAGCUCUACAAAACAUCACUAUUAUAAAACAGCAAUGGGAAAACCUCAGAGACAGCAUAACACAAGCAGCACAAGAGGUGGUUCCCAAACAACAGAAAAAAAACUAAAAAGAAAUGGAUGACAGAAGAAAUUCUGAAUCUUAUGGAACAAAGAAGAAAAUGUAAGGAAAACGAAAAAGCAUGCAUGCACAGAUAACAACCAAGUGCAAGGAAGCAAAGAAAAGUGGCUUAAGGACAAAUGUGAGUAAAUAGAACAAUUGCAGAAGACCAACAACAGCAAACGUAUGCACGACGAGAUCAAAGAGGUCACAAAUUGGAGGAAAAGCAGGGCAACAACAGGAUGUAUAAAAGCAAAAGAUGGCUCUACAAUUAUGGAAAAAGAGAAAAAUAAUGCAGAGACGGUCAGAAUACAUCAAAGACCUAUACGAUGACAAAGACCGAGAGGACAACUUUGAUAUUGGCAACAACAACGAGGGCCCAGCAAUAGUGAAAGAAGAAGUGGAACAUGCUAUGAAGAAAAUGAAAAAGGGGAAAUCAUCAGGACCAGAUAACAUUCCGGUUGAACGGUAUGAAGCACUAGAAGAUUUUGGUGUAGAGAAAUUAACAAUCUUAUUGAAUAGAAUAUACAACAGUGGCAAAGUACCAGAAGAUCUUUUAAAGACAGUAGUCAUUGCACUGCCAAAGAAACCAGUUGUAAUAGAGUGUGGACAACACAGAACAAUUAGUUUAAUGAGCCACCUCACAAAAAUUCUACUUAGAAUCAUCAUGCUCAGAAUAAGAAACAAAAUUAAACCAGAGAUCAGUGAAGAACAGUGCGGCUUUGUUUGAAGGCAAGGGAACAUCAAACACCACUUAUAUUCUCAGGAAUAUUAUCAAAAGGUCAAUAGAAGUAUAACAAGACCUAUACUUCUGUUUCAUUGACUACACAAAAGCCUUUGACACAGUGAGACACCAACUCAUCAUGAAAAUGCUUGAAGAUAUAUUGGCGGAAAAGAUAUAAGGACGAUCAGGAAUCUCUACUGGCAACAAAGUGCAGCCAUAUGGAUAGACAAUGAGAUUGGUGAAUAUCAGCCAAUAAAGCGAGGAGUCAGACAGGGUUGUGUUCUGUCACCAGACCUGUUCUCCCUGUACAGCGAAAACAUCAUGAGAACCAUACAAGACCUACCUGGAAUAAGUAUAGGAGGAUACAAUAUUAACAGCCUCCGCUAUGUGGAUGAUACAGUACUGAUAGCAAACAGUGAAGUAAAUUUACAGAAACUAGUAUCUAUCAUCAACACAGAGAGCGAAAGACUUGGCCUAACCUUAAACAAAAAGAAAACUGAAGUAAUGGUAAUAGCAAAGAAACCUGAUAUCCCAAACUGUAGGAUCGUACUGGGAAAUUAAAUCCUGAAACGAGUUCACAACUUCAAGUACCUUGGAUCACGGGUAACAUCUGAUGGCAAAUGCGAAACAGACAUAAAAGCAAGAAUAGCAAUGACAAGAACAGCAUUUACAGAAAUGAGAAACAUCCUAGCGAACAAGAAAAUAGCAAUUGACAUCUGCCUUAGAACACUCAGCUGCUACAUUCUUCCUAUAUUGAUGUACGGCUGCGAGACAUGGACCACCACAAAUGCAACAGAAAAAAGAAUCAAUGCAGCAGAGAUGUGGUUCCUCAGAAGGAUGCUAUGCAUAUCAUAUACGGACAGGAUAACCAACGAAGAAGUUCUACAGAGAAAGAAAAUAAACGUACAUUACUUAAAAGAAUCAGAAAAUAGCAAUCAAAAUUCUUUGGACACAUCAUGCGACAGAGACAUUAGAACAUUUAGUUACAACUGGAAAGCUGGAAGGAAAAAGAAGCAGAGGGAGACAGAGAAUGGAAAUGAUAGAUGGAAUAACAUCCUGGUUAGAAACAGGGGAGGCAACAACUACAACUUGGAGGGUCAGGGACCAUGAUGGAUGGAGAGACAUGAUCGCCCACGCCGAACGGCAAGACACCUGAAUGAUGAUGACACACAAGAAUGUGUAUUGGAGAAAGACACAAAAUGCUGGGGGAUCUCAGCAGCUGUGGAGAGGACAUUUCCUCAGGACUGGAACAGAAGCAGGAGAAAGCCAGAAUAAGAUGGGGGGGUACGGGGGAG